RNAcentral lists this ribosomal RNA (900 nucleotides) under Bacillus subtilis. RNAcentral's name for it is "bacterial SSU rRNA". It matches the Rfam family "Bacterial small subunit ribosomal RNA", at positions 1 to 870 of the family's 1533-position model. The record is from RNAcentral. Lineage: Bacteria; Bacillati; Bacillota; Bacilli; Caryophanales; Bacillaceae.
UGUGUGGCGGGCGGUUCUAGAGUUUUAGUUUCUGGCUCAGGACGAACGCUGGCGGCGUGCCUAAUACAUGCAAGUCGAGCGGACAGAUGGGAGCUUGCUCCCUGAUGUUAGCGGCGGACGGGUGAGUAACACGUGGGUAACCUGCCUGUAAGACUGGGAUAACUCCGGGAAACCGGGGCUAAUACCGGAUGCUUGUUUGAACCGCAUGGUUCAAACAUAAAAGGUGGCUUCGGCUACCACUUACAGAUGGACCCGCGGCGCAUUAGCUAGUUGGUGAGGUAAUGGCUCACCAAGGCGACGAUGCGUAGCCGACCUGAGAGGGUGAUCGGCCACACUGGGACUGAGACACGGCCCAGACUCCUACGGGAGGCAGCAGUAGGGAAUCUUCCGCAAUGGACGAAAGUCUGACGGAGCAACGCCGCGUGAGUGAUGAAGGUUUUCGGAUCGUAAAGCUCUGUUGUUAGGGAAGAACAAGUACCGUUCGAAUAGGGCGGUACCUUGACGGUACCUAACCAGAAAGCCACGGCUAACUACGUGCCAGCAGCCGCGGUAAUACGUAGGUGGCAAGCGUUGUCCGGAAUUAUUGGGCGUAAAGGGCUCGCAGGCGGUUUCUUAAGUCUGAUGUGAAAGCCCCCGGCUCAACCGGGGAGGGUCAUUGGAAACUGGGGAACUUGAGUGCAGAAGAGGAGAGUGGAAUUCCACGUGUAGCGGUGAAAUGCGUAGAGAUGUGGAGGAACACCAGUGGCGAAGGCGACUCUCUGGUCUGUAACUGACGCUGAGGAGCGAAAGCGUGGGGAGCGAACAGGAUUAGAUACCCUGGUAGUCCACGCCGUAAACGAUGAGUGCUAAGUGUUAGGGGGUUUCCGCCCCUUAGUGCUGCAGCUAACGCAUAAGCACUCC